CGUCAUGCUGCAAGUCCUUUUAAGGAAGCAUAUAACACCAACCUUGUGAAUCUGAGUCUCUGACUUAUUCUUGCUCCCUGAUUUGAGCUGUUCCUGCUUUUGUUUUGUCUCUAAGUGUCCCACAUUUCACACAAGAGGUUUUCUGUCUUAGUGAUAUACCCUGACUGCUGACGUCACUUCAGCAGGCUCCCGUAAGCUACUGCAUGGGAAAGUGAUGUUUAAGCACUGUUGUAAUUAUCAAAGAAGAGUGGAAGGAAUGAGACACUGCACUCAGCCACCUCUCUCAAGAAAAUGAAAAACAUAGAUAUUAAAUGGACAACAGUUCAGAUUAUAAAAGCAGGUAAUGCUUCAGUAUAGGAAGCCUCAACUCAGUUUUUCCUCAUCUACUUUGGGAAUUUUUCCUCUUUUGUUUCUUGAACAUUGCAAAGGAAAUAGGAAGCCAGCAGCAUGAUGAGGUAAGCGCUGAAAAGAAUCGCUACACUCAGCAUCACAUAUCUGCCUGCAGUAACGAGCACAUGGUCACGAGUCUCCUCAGAUACUUUGCAUUUCUUUAUUAUAUUAUAAAACUACAGGUAGAAAUGUGAAAUGUCUUUUAGAUGGCUAUUCGUCAGCGUAUUACUUUAGAUUUCCUCAGAGACAGAUUUUUUAAAGAAUAUUACUAAUAAUGUCACUUUAUAGGAAUGGAGAGCAUUGGUCUUAAAAUGGGUUUUUGACCAAAGUAUAAAGUAGAAUGUUUAGUUGCAAUUUGAAAUACACUUAUGAGUACAUUUUAAAAAGUUGGCCAAGAUAAGUCUGGGAAGCGUGUCUUCACACUGAUCAAAUCUAAGCUUAAGGAUACAGUACUGCCAGGAACAUGGCCUUUGCCACAGCACCGACGGGUACUGUCACUGCAGAUUCCCGUGUAUGCAUGAAAGUCACAUUGCGUGUAAGUGUCUCAAGCUGUGUUUCCUUGUUUUAGGGAAGCAGUGUAUGUGCCUGGUGGAUCUGGACCGUGCAACAGCAGCAGAAGAACAGGGCUACUCUGUCCAAGUGAUUUCUAUGGAGCCAGAGAGCUGCUCUCCCAAAAAUAACAUGAUCGUGGGCGUCCCCGUGUAGAAUGGGGCACACACACUUGAUGCUUUGCCAUGGGCUUCAUGAGGAGCGCCCAGGGGCAUUCAGGAAGUUGGUGUGUUAGUGGAAGCAGCGCUGAGUGUCUUGAGCCUGUUGAAAAAGCUACAGGAAGAUCUUGGAAGAGGGAUGCUCUGGCUCUGUGUGCAGAAGGAUGACUGCCUUGCUCGAGGGAAUCCCCUGAAGCCUUAGCUGCCAAAAGAAUCAUUCUCAGUGGCCAAGAUUCCGUCAGCAGAACCAUUUCCUCAGACCUUUUCCUGAUCGUGUCAGUGGGAUACUCAAGCCAUGCGCUCACAGCCUUCAUUUUAUAACCUUUUGAUAUUCAUACUUGGUGAUCAAAACUAAACUCGAGGUGGUUGUGGUUUUUUAUAGUUUUAACAAUGUAUCUUUUGUAUAGAUUUUUUAAAUCUAGGAUGGUAAAUUCGAUGUGAUUUUUCCUUUUUUUAAAUCUGAGAUUGGUUGAAUUUGCAUAUCAUGUACUAUCCUCCUUUAAAUAUAUGUCCCAUAAAUUAACAAAUAAGUUUAUUGCUGGUUGAAGACUUCGCAUGAAAAUUUAUAAGUCAAUUGCACUAAAUUAUACAUUCUAAAAGUGGAAUUUAGAUAUAAAUUUUAACUGAACAGUAAAUUUAUGCUCUGUUUAGUUACAACAAGUAAAUAACAAAUGCUAGCAGUC
This 1780-nucleotide long non-coding RNA is filed under the name Rattus norvegicus (Norway rat). RNAcentral's name for it is "long non-coding RNA NONRATT016884". The record is from RNAcentral. Lineage: Eukaryota; Metazoa; Chordata; Mammalia; Rodentia; Muridae.